Molecule: transfer RNA, 73 nt
Filed under: Delftia acidovorans
Lineage: Bacteria; Pseudomonadati; Pseudomonadota; Betaproteobacteria; Burkholderiales; Comamonadaceae
Also listed under: 3 other names
Rfam family: tRNA
About the family: Transfer RNA (tRNA) molecules are approximately 80 nucleotides in length.
Source: RNAcentral
GGUUCUAUGGUGUAAUUGGUUAUCACUCUGGACUUUGAAUCCAGCAAUCCGGGUUCAAAUCCCGGUAGAACCU